CGCAAUGUUUCGAAUUACCUCACCAUGUUAGACAUUUUUUCAAAUGAUACACAACGACACAUCUAUUGCACAUAUAGGAUGGUAGAAACUGAAAUUUAGGCAGAUGCACAAAAUUAGACAAAAGAUUUAACAUAUCUGAAUCAUUUAGUGAAAGCAACACGGAGAGCUGUAGAGAUUACCUAAUUGAGCUUAGAUAACAACAGUCAAGAGACCAAACCAAGCUGAAUACAGCUACAAUUUGGAGCUCAUCCACAAAUUUAAAGGAGAACAACAACAAAAGUAAUGAAUCUAGCUGAAUCCACUUUGAAACCCAUGAAGAAAGAAUUCGAGUUUUGAAAUAAACUUUUCUUCAAUAUUUCUUCGAUUUUGUUGGGGUUCACGUUCAUGAGAAGAUGAAGAGAGAGAAGAGGGAGGGUAGCGCCGUUGCUAGGUUCCAGUCAUGGAAUGGGGAUCUCUAUGAUUUCUUGUGUUUUUGAUUGAGGAUGAGAGAAUCAAGCUUUUGUUUUGAGAUGAGCGUCCCUUUUGGAAUGGUUGAAAUGGCGUUAGAGACGGUGGGAGUCUCUGACCUUGUUCUCUGAUGUUGAAGACCAGAGAUGCGCUGCUCCUCGUUUUCUUUUUUUUUUAGGGGAGGGUGCAGGGAUCUAAUGGUCUGUUUU
This 656-nucleotide long non-coding RNA is filed under the name Nicotiana benthamiana. RNAcentral's name for it is "long non-coding RNA (NBEN_LNC007696)". Lineage: Eukaryota; Viridiplantae; Streptophyta; Magnoliopsida; Solanales; Solanaceae. The record is from RNAcentral.